RNAcentral lists this ribosomal RNA (365 nucleotides) under uncultured eukaryote. RNAcentral's name for it is "partial 18S ribosomal RNA". It matches the Rfam family "Eukaryotic small subunit ribosomal RNA", at positions 592 to 976 of the family's 1831-position model. The record is from RNAcentral.
CAAUAGCGUAUAUUUAAGUUGUUGCAGUUAAAAAGCUCGUAGUCGGAUUUUGGCUGAGAACGAUCGGUCCGCCGUUAGGUGUGCACUGAUUGGUCUCAGCUUCCUGGUGAGGAGGUGUGCUUCACGGCCACUUAGUCACCGUGGUUACUUUGAAAAAAUUAGAGUGUUCAAAGCGGGCUUACGCUUGAAUAUAUUAGCAUGGAAUAACACCAUAGGACUCCUGUCCUAUUUCGUUGGUCUCGGGACGGGAGUAAUGAUUAAGAGGAACAGUUGGGGGCAUUCGUAUUUCAUUGUCAGAGGUGAAAUUCUUGGAUUUAUGAAAGACGAACUUCUGCGAAAGCAUUUGCCAAGGAUGUUUUCAUUAA